This 500-nucleotide ribosomal RNA is filed under the name uncultured bacterium. RNAcentral's name for it is "partial 16S ribosomal RNA". It matches the Rfam family "Bacterial small subunit ribosomal RNA", at positions 30 to 523 of the family's 1533-position model. The record is from RNAcentral.
AUUGAACGCUGGCGGCAUGCCUUACACAUGCAAGUCGAACGGCAGCACGGGAGCAAUCCUGGUGGCGAGUGGCGAACGGGUGAGUAAAGUAUCGGAACGUGCCCAGUCGUGGGGGAUAACGUAGCGAAAGUUACGCUAAUACCGCAUACGAUCUAUGGAUGAAAGCGGGGGAUCGCAAGACCUCGCGCGAUUGGAGCGGCCGAUAUCAGAUUAGGUAGUUGGUGGGGUAAAGGCUCACCAAGCCGACGAUCUGUAGCUGGUCUGAGAGGACGACCAGCCACACUGGGACUGAGACACGGCCCAGACUCCUACGGGAGGCAGCAGUGGGGAAUUUUGGACAAUGGGCGCAAGCCUGAUCCAGCCAUGCCGCGUGCAGGAUGAAGGCCUUCGGGUUGUAAACUGCUUUUGUACGGAACGAAAAGGUUUGACUUAAUACGUUGGACUCAUGACGGUACCGUAAGAAUAGGCACCGGCUAACUACGUGCCAGCAGCCGCCGCGG